This 370-nucleotide unclassified non-coding RNA is filed under the name Hevea brasiliensis (rubber tree). The record is from RNAcentral. Lineage: Eukaryota; Viridiplantae; Streptophyta; Magnoliopsida; Malpighiales; Euphorbiaceae.
AAUGGAUGGGCACAUUGAUGCUGUCUCUUGCAUGGCAAAGAAUCCUAAUCACUUGAAAGGAAUAUUUUCUGGCUCCAUGGACGGUGAUGUUCGCCUAUGGGAUUUGGCUACCAGGCGGACAGUACGUCAGUUUCCUGGUCACCAGGGUGCAGUACGUGGUUUGACAGUGUCCACGGAUGGCCGAAUUCUUGUAUCAUGUGGAACUGAUUGCACUGUUAGGCUCUGGAAAGUUCCUGUUGCUACUCUAAUGGAGUCUGAUGAUGGAUCUGAUAACUCGUCCCAGCCAUUGGCUGUUCAUGUUUGGAAGAAUGCAUUCUGGGGUGUUGACCACCAAUGGGAUGGUGAUCUCUUUGCCACAGCUGGUGCUCAA